This 107-nucleotide small nucleolar RNA is filed under the name Theobroma cacao (cacao). Its description in RNAcentral is "Plant small nucleolar RNA R71". It matches the Rfam family "Plant small nucleolar RNA R71". From Rfam's summary of the family: R71 is a member of the C/D box family of snoRNAs containing the C (UGAUGA) and D (CUGA) box motifs. Multiple nearly identical copies of this snoRNA have been identified in Arabidopsis, and it is thought to function as a 2'-O-ribose methylation guide for 18S ribosomal RNA. The record is from Rfam by way of RNAcentral. Lineage: Eukaryota; Viridiplantae; Streptophyta; Magnoliopsida; Malvales; Malvaceae.
AACUCAUGGUGAAGGCAUCUUCUAAGCAAAUCCUUGUAUCUCUCCCAAGCUUCAUAAAGUGACUCUAAAUCAAAUUUUACAAAAGAUGUGAUGUCAUUUCACAUUUU